AGCUUUGCGCAGUGGCAGUAUCAUGGCCAAUGAGGUUUAUCCGAGGUGCGAUUAUUGCUAAUUGAAAAAGAGGGUAGCUGGAAAACAUAUUCAUCAGAGGAAAUACAAUUUGCAACUAAGACAGAGCUUUCCAAAUUCCUGCAUUAGACUGCCGCCU
Vulpes vulpes (red fox) is the source of this 157-nucleotide small nuclear RNA. Its record names the gene U4. It matches the Rfam family "U4 spliceosomal RNA". From Rfam's summary of the family: U4 small nuclear RNA (U4 snRNA) is a component of the major U2-dependent spliceosome. Lineage: Eukaryota; Metazoa; Chordata; Mammalia; Carnivora; Canidae. The record is from Ensembl.